RNAcentral lists this ribosomal RNA (730 nucleotides) under uncultured bacterium. RNAcentral describes it as "bacterial SSU rRNA". It matches the Rfam family "Bacterial small subunit ribosomal RNA", at positions 771 to 1501 of the family's 1533-position model. The record is from RNAcentral.
AACAGGAUUAGAUACCCUGGUAGUCCACGCCGUAAACGAUGUCGACUUGGAGGUUGUGCCCUUGAGGCGUGGCUUCCGGAGCUAACGCGUUAAGUCGACCGCCUGGGGAGUACGGCCGCAAGGUUAAAACUCAAAUGAAUUGACGGGGGCCCGCACAAGCGGUGGAGCAUGUGGUUUAAUUCGAUGCAACGCGAAGAACCUUACCUACUCUUGACAUCCAGAGAACUUAGCAGAGAUGCUUUGGUGCCUUCGGGAACUCUGAGACAGGUGCUGCAUGGCUGUCGUCAGCUCGUGUUGUGAAAUGUUGGGUUAAGUCCCGCAACGAGCGCAACCCUUAUCCUUUGUUGCCAGCGGUUAGGCCGGGAACUCAAAGGAGACUGCCAGUGAUAAACUGGAGGAAGGUGGGGAUGACGUCAAGUCAUCAUGGCCCUUACGAGUAGGGCUACACACGUGCUACAAUGGCGCAUACAAAGAGAAGCGACCUCGCGAGAGCAAGCGGACCUCAUAAAGUGCGUCGUAGUCCGGAUUGGAGUCUGCAACUCGACUCCAUGAAGUCGGAAUCGCUAGUAAUCGUGGAACAGAAUGCCACGGUGAAUACGUUCCCGGGCCUUGUACACACCGCCCGUCACACCAUGGGAGUGGGUUGCAAAAGAAGUAGGUAGCUUAACCUUCGGGAGGGCGCUUACCACUUUGUGAUUCAUGACUGGGGUGAAGUCGUAACAAGGUAACC